UGAGGAAUUUUGCGCAAUGGCCGCAAGGCUGACGCAGCAACGCCGCGUGGGUGAUGAAGGCCUUCGGGUCGUAAAGCCCUGUCAGGUGGGAAGAAAGGUUUCAAGGAGAAACACUUGGGAUUUGACGGUACCACCAGAGGAAGCACCGGCUAACUCCGUGCCAGCAGCCGCGGUAAUACGGAGGGUGCGAGCGUUAUGCGGAAUUCCUGGGCGUAAAGCGCGUGUAGGCGGGGAUGCAAGUCUGAUGUGAAAGCCCUGGGCUUAACCUGGGAAGUGCAUUGGAAACGGCAGUUCGUGAGUACUGGAGAGGAAGGGGAAAUUCCCGGUGUAGAGGUGAAAUUCGUAGAGAUCGGGAGGAAGACCAGUGGCGUAGGCGCCCUUCUGGACGGUAACUGACGCUGAGACGCGAAAGCGUGGGGAGCAAACA
This 427-nucleotide ribosomal RNA is filed under the name uncultured prokaryote. Its description in RNAcentral is "bacterial SSU rRNA". It matches the Rfam family "Bacterial small subunit ribosomal RNA", at positions 355 to 774 of the family's 1533-position model. The record is from RNAcentral.